This 831-nucleotide ribosomal RNA is filed under the name uncultured bacterium. RNAcentral's name for it is "bacterial SSU rRNA". It matches the Rfam family "Bacterial small subunit ribosomal RNA", at positions 37 to 883 of the family's 1533-position model. The record is from RNAcentral.
UGGCGGCGUGCUUUACACAUGCAAGUCGAGCGAUGAGAUCCCUUCGGGGAUGGAUUAGCGGCGAACGGGUGAGGAACACGUGAAGAAUCUACCUUCAACACUGGGAUAACUCCGGGAAACCGGGGCUAAUACCGGAUACGAGAUCGGCAGGCAUCUGCUAAUCUGGAAAGUUUUUCGGUUGAAGAUGACUUCGCGGCCUAUCAGCUUGUUGGUGAGGUAAUGGCUCACCAAGGCGACGACGGGUAGCCGGCCUGAGAGGGCGACCGGCCACACUGGGACUGAGACACGGCCCAGACUCCUACGGGAGGCAGCAGUGGGGAAUAUUGGGCAAUGGAGGGAACUCUGACCCAGCGACGCCGCGUGCGGGAUGAAGGCCUUCGGGUUGUAAACCGCUUUCAGCAGGGAAGAAGCGAAAGUGACGGUACCUGCAGAAGAAGCACCGGCUAACUAUGUGCCAGCAGCCGCGGUAAUACAUAGGGUGCAAGCGUUGUCCGGAAUUAUUGGGCGUAAAGAGCUCGUAGGUGGUUCGUCACGUCGGAUGUGAAAAUCUGGGGCUCAACCCCAGACCUGCAUUCGAUACGGGCGAGCUAGAGUGUGGUAGGGGAGACUGGAAUUCCUGGUGUAGCGGUGGAAUGCGCAGAUAUCAGGAGGAACACCAAUGGCGAAGGCAGGUCUCUGGGCCAUUACUGACACUGAGGAGCGAAAGCGUGGGGAGCGAACAGGAUUAGAUACCCUGGUAGUCCACGCCGUAAACGAUGGGCACUAGUUGUGGGAACCUUCCACGGUUUCUGCGACGCAGCUAACGCAUUAAGUGCCCCGCCUGGGGAGUAC